CCAAUAGCGUAUAUUAAAGUUGUUGCAGUUAAAAAGCUCGUAGUUGAAUUUCGGGAUCAAUAUGUCGGUCGUGCCUCGGUACGUACUGGCGUCAUUGGUUUCUCCCUUCUGAAGAACCUCGAUGCCAUUAAUUUGGUGUCGUGGGGAAUCAGGACUGUUACUUUGAAAAAAUUAGAGUGUUUAAAGCAGGCUCACGCUUGAAUACAUUAGCAUGGAAUAAUGAAAUAGGACGUUUGAUUCUAUUUUGUUGGUUUCUAGGAUCGACGUAAUGAUUAAUAGGGAUAGUUGGGGGCAUUAGUAUUCAAUUGUCAGAGGUGAAAUUCUUGGAUUUAUUGAAGACUAACUACUGCGAAAGCAUUUGCCAAGGAUGUUUUCAUUAAUCAAGAACGAAAGUUAGGGGAUCGAAGACGAUCAGAUACCGUCGUAGUCUUAACCAUAAACUAUGCCGACUAGGGAUCGGAUGAUGUUAAUUUUUUAAUGACUCAUUCGGCGCCUUACG
This 499-nucleotide ribosomal RNA is filed under the name uncultured Glomeromycotina. RNAcentral's name for it is "partial small subunit ribosomal RNA". It matches the Rfam family "Eukaryotic small subunit ribosomal RNA", at positions 591 to 1092 of the family's 1831-position model. The record is from RNAcentral. Lineage: Eukaryota; Fungi; Glomeromycota.